This 408-nucleotide ribosomal RNA is filed under the name uncultured bacterium. RNAcentral's name for it is "partial 16S ribosomal RNA". It matches the Rfam family "Bacterial small subunit ribosomal RNA", at positions 28 to 526 of the family's 1533-position model. The record is from RNAcentral.
GACGAACGCUGGCGGCGUGCUUAACCCAUGCCAGUCGAACGGAGUGGCGAACGGGUGAGUAACCCGUGGGUUAUCUGCCUUGCCCUCUGGCAUCAGCUUGGGACACUGGCUCUAAUACCGGAUAGUGCAAGAUUGGCUCGCGGCCUAUCAGCUUGUUGGGGGGGUAAUGGCCUACCAAGGCGUCGACGGGUAGCCGGCCUGAGAGGGUGGACGGCGACAUUGGGACUGAGAUACGGCCCAGACUCCUACGGGAGGCAGCAGUGUGGAAGAUUGCACAAUGGGCGGAAGCCUGAUGCAGCGAGGCCGCGUGGGGGAGGACGGCGUGCGGGUUGGAAACGCCUUUCGACAGGGACGCGGUACCUGUAUAAGAAGCACCGGGUAACUACGUGCCAGCAGCCGCGGUAAUAC